UGGACACUUAGAUUCAGGAUGUUCUAGCUCUUCAUGACAAUCAGCUACGUUACCGACCACAUGCCGCCUCGAGUAUGGGAGAUUGCAUCAGCCAGAUGUGUGCAUUGGCAACGAUGAGAACUGUGGACUCUAAUAUAUAUAUUGAGACGGCAAGCUACGCUCGGGACCCUUUGUUGAUGAUGACUGGCAUAUCACAAACGUUAUUGACCUGAAAUGGUCCUUCAUUCGUCCAAUUAAAAUGCAACACCCUCCAUACUGGCUGACAAGUUAAGCAGGAGAUCAGAUCAACGAAACGCAAUACAGCGAGAUGUACGAUGAAUACAUAGGUGUUUUCGAACAGGUAGAAAGAAAUAUGCUGGGUGAGGAUGAGAAGAGCAUCACAAUGAUUCGAUGCGACUAUUCUUAUACAGAGCUUUUAAAGAGAAUGUGGAGGAAAGGGACGUUCCGGUACUGCUUUGCACUGGAUGGCUCCACUGGACUCCAUCACAUCUUUUACCACCGUAUCCGACCUAGAUAUCAAAUUCCCUACGGAAAAUCUCAGAAAUCCAAGUUUGACACCGAAUUUUAUCUCACCACCUCAACCUUCUUGUGCCUUAACGCGUGGGACUUCGCCGAGUCAAAAGUUAAAGAUAAAGAGAGAUACGACGAGCAGUUCCGACUCGCUUUCCAUCAUUUUCAACAUUUCAAUACAA
Molecule: small RNA, 692 nt
Filed under: Histoplasma ohiense
Lineage: Eukaryota; Fungi; Ascomycota; Eurotiomycetes; Onygenales; Ajellomycetaceae
Description: hypothetical lncRNA
Source: RNAcentral